UUUGACUCAGUUGAAGUGUUUACGUAUGUCAUUGUCAAAUUUUGGCAUGGGACAGUCAAGGGGUGUGGAGCUUCGUAGAAAUGUUUUGUCAAAACUUUCUUUAUUGGAAGAACUAAGAAUUGAUGUAGAUCCAAAUAAUCAAAGGUGGGAGGAGGUUGUAAAAGCCAUUAUUGAGGAGGUGGCUACCUUGACACAUUUGACUUCACUUUCGAUUUGUUUUCCUAGCAUGGACUGUCUUGAGUUUUUCAUCUCAACGAGUCCUUCAUGGAAGGAUCUCUACUUCACAUUCCAAUUUUCUGUUGGUCACCAUGACUCAACCAAAUAUCAAAUUCUUGACUAUUUUGAAUAUCAAAUCAGGAGGUGUUUGAAGUUUGUAAAUGGUGAAGGUGUACAUCCUGCAAUUUCAGAGGUUCUUGCAGAAACUGAUGCAUUUGAAUUGAUAGGCCACAAGGGAGCUAAAAAUCUAUCAGAUUUUGAUAUCAAGAGUAUCAACAAGAUGCGAGGUUGCUUGAUUGAAGGAUGCAGUGAAAUUGAAACUAUUGUUGAUGGUAAUAGAGUACAAGGAAGUGCAUUGGAAGGCUUAGAAGUGAUGUACAUAUAUAAUGUCCCAAAAUUAGCAAGCAUUUGGGAAGGACCUGUUCAUACUGGAAGCCUUGGCCGACUAAAGAAUCUAACUUUAUGCAAAUGUCCGAGUUUAAAGAAGAUCUUCUCCAACAACAUGAUUGCUCAACUUCCUAAACUUCAAGACUUAAAAGUUGAAGAUUGUUCUGGAAUCGAAGAAGUAAUUAUGGAGUCUGAAAACGGGGGGUUGGAACCUGAUGUGCUUCCAAGUUUGAAGAAACUAGUACUUCUUGAUCUUCCAAAACUAAGAAGCAUCUGCGUUAAUGACUUAAUAAAGUGGUCAUCUUUGAAGAAGAUUGUGAUAUCUAUGUGCCCAUUAUUGACAAAAUUGCCCUUCAGCAACGAGAAUGCAAUCAAUUUGGAAUGUAUUGAAGUCCAACGAUCAUGGUGGAAUGCAUUGGAAUGGCAACAAGAAGCCAUUGAAGAAAGACUACGAUCUAUAUGCAGCUUCAACUAGUGGUUUUCAUUUUAUCCUUCUCGACAGCCCUUCAUCAACACAGUAUACAAUAAAAUUUUCUGUUAGAAGAUGGCCAUAAAGCAUUCUUUGAUACUCACAUUGAAUUAUGAUACAGAAGAUCAGGAUCCUUCUAGCUAGACAGCCUUGGAGGAUUUGGAGUCUUUUGGUGCGUGUUCGUGAGAAUUUGCUAAGUUGUCUCAGUAUUUUAGUUUAUGGAGCAGUGGACAUGUUUAUGUUUUUGAUUUACUUAAAUUGUUGUUUUUGGAGACCUUCCGUUUCACAGGGGAUUUUAGAAUUUGUUGGAAUUGCUAUUGUGGUCUUUUAUCCUAAGGAGUUCUUGUUAUUAUUGUACUUCAUGUUUGGUUUUUUAUGGUAUGUGGACACCGAUAAUAUGUGAACUUUUGACAUUGUGUUGAUGAAUUUUUAGUUGCUUUGGUUGUA
This is a non-coding RNA of Corylus avellana, 1519 nucleotides long. The record is from RefSeq and is a predicted model, not a curated record. Lineage: Eukaryota; Viridiplantae; Streptophyta; Magnoliopsida; Fagales; Betulaceae.